UACGUAGGUGGCAAGCGUUGUCCGGAAUUAUUGGGCGUAAAGCGCGCGCAGGCGGUUUCUUAAGUCUGAUGUGAAAGCCCACGGCUCAACCGUGGAGGGUCAUUGGAAACUGGGAAACUUGAGUGCAGAAGAGGAGAGUGGAAUUCCACGUGUAGCGGUGAAAUGCGUAGAGAUGUGGAGGAACACCAGUGGCGAAGGCGGCUCUCUGGUCUGUAACUGACGCUGAGGCGCGAAAGCGUGGGGAGCGAACAGG
RNAcentral lists this ribosomal RNA (253 nucleotides) under uncultured bacterium. RNAcentral describes it as "partial 16S ribosomal RNA". It matches the Rfam family "Bacterial small subunit ribosomal RNA", at positions 524 to 776 of the family's 1533-position model. The record is from RNAcentral.